AUCCAGCUGAUGAGUCCCACCCAAAUGAAACGAAACGCGCGUCCUGCGU
RNAcentral lists this non-coding RNA (49 nucleotides) under Schistosoma mansoni. The record is from RNAcentral. Lineage: Eukaryota; Metazoa; Platyhelminthes; Trematoda; Strigeidida; Schistosomatidae.